Molecule: long non-coding RNA, 714 nt
Organism: Neodiprion virginianus
Lineage: Eukaryota; Metazoa; Arthropoda; Insecta; Hymenoptera; Diprionidae
Exons: 3
Source: RefSeq, a predicted model, not a curated record
ACCGCGCAGUAGAGCGGACAUAUGAAAAUCGCGCUCCGCAGAUUUCGGGUACCGGCUACUCUACCUCUUGGAUCCUGCGCUGUGGGUCCGCUUCCUGGUGUGCCUCGAGUUCCAGGACAAGCGCUCCGUAGUUUCGGCGUGCCAGCUCCACUAACUGGUGAAACUCGGCUUCUAAGACAAGCGCUCCGUACUAUCGGCGCUCCAGGUCCGUUACCUGGUGAAACUCGACUUUAAGGACGAGCGCUCCGUAGUUUUGGCGCUCCAGGUCCGCUACCUGGUGAAACUCGACUUCUAGGACGAGCGCUCCGUAGUUUCGGCGCUCGAGGUCCACUACCUGGCGAAACUCGACUUUUAAGUCAAGCGCUCCAUACUAUCGGCGCUCCAGGUCCGUUACCUGGUGAAACUCGACUUCUAGGACAAGAGCUCCGUACUAUCGGGGCUCCAGGUCCGUUACCUAGUGAAACUCGACUUUAAGGACGAGCGCUCCGUAGUUUCGGCGUUCCAGAUCCGCUACCUGGUGCAACUCGACUUCAGGGACAAGCGCUGCGUAGUUUCUGAGCUCAAGAUCUACUACCCGGUUAAUCGCGACUCUCGGAGGACGAGGAAGACGAGAACAAGGUGGACGAGGAUAACGAGGAUUUCUGCACGGUAUAACCCGUGGUGGUUAGCGGUGGUCCUUGGAGGCGGUUGGCGGUGGUUUGAGGUGGACGAGGA